RNAcentral lists this non-coding RNA (101 nucleotides) under Desulfosarcina cetonica. RNAcentral describes it as "SAM". It matches the Rfam family "SAM riboswitch aptamer (S box leader)". From Rfam's summary of the family: The SAM riboswitch is found upstream of a number of genes which code for proteins involved in methionine or cysteine biosynthesis in Gram-positive bacteria. The SAM riboswitch acts at the level of transcription termination control. Lineage: Bacteria; Pseudomonadati; Thermodesulfobacteriota; Desulfobacteria; Desulfobacterales; Desulfosarcinaceae. The record is from RNAcentral.
AUAUCAUGAAGAGCGGCGAGAGGGACCUGGCCCGAUGACCGUCCGGCAACCUGUGGAUCACAAGGUGCCAAUUCCAGCCCGCAAGAGGGGAAACAUGCGGC